This is a long non-coding RNA of Pipra filicauda (Wire-tailed manakin), 1172 nucleotides long. RefSeq lists it as uncharacterized. The record is from RefSeq and is a predicted model, not a curated record. Lineage: Eukaryota; Metazoa; Chordata; Aves; Passeriformes; Pipridae. The transcript has 3 exons.
CAACAGCCCUGCCUGAGCUGAGGGCUGGCCUGGUGUGGGCGAGGAGGUGUCUGGAGCACAGCUGAGGUUGUGACACCUCGUCAGGGGCCAAGGCAACGCGGCAGGAGAGGAGCAGCAAAGCCCACCUCCUCACCAGCCGUGCUGACAUGAGCUCUCCCACGCAGCGCUCCCAACGAUGAUGGAGAUUUAUUUAAGCUGACUUUAGAGGGGAUAUUUUUGUGAAUGCAUCUUAGCCUGCCAGCUUCUCUCCUUCCGUCAGUCUGUAAUGAUAAUUUCAAGGAACAAUGCGAGAGAUGUUCGCUCACCACAUUGCCAGGCAUGUGGCUGUGAUGGAGAGGAAUUAGCCAGGGAUCUCUGGACACAGAAUUAGCUUUGAGCAUGUUGCUGGUGCUGCUGCAUGCUGCCUUGUAACUCCACCAGGUCCAUGCCCAGGGCUGGAUAUCUCCUUAAUUGAAGAGCAGCAGAGAGUACCUGAGACGUGUCCUGACCAAGAGCAAAACAGUUGGAGAAAUUCCCCAUCCAGGAGCUGCAAUAGCAAGGGGCUCAGCACAUGUACAGUCGUGUCCCUCGGCAGAGGCAGAACAUAAGAUGGACAAUCAUGUCAGCGUGGUGCGGGAGCUGCAGCGGCUGCCAGGGAGAGGAAAACCAAGGCAGAGAGAGGGGAGCUGCUUGUUAACCCGGGCGGCAGAGGCAGGGCUGAGACUCGGGCUGCUCGGCUGCCUUUGCCCUGUCCCCUGGGGUCACCCAACCAAGCCUGUGGUCCUAGGCAAUCUGUGAUUAAUUUGCAAGGAAAUAAAUAGUAUUUAAAAAAGAUAAAAGUCCAGAAUAAAUGAUUCCCGGAGGAUAUGUCAGUCAGGUUUCUGUUCACUCUACUGUGGCUGGCUCAUCUUGUUUAUUUAUAUUAAUUGCAGCUUGAUAAUGGCUCGGAGCUGCUGUACAACCGCUGCUGCAGGGGUCCACAGAGGAGGAUCUCAGAGGAGGAGGAGAGCAUUGUGCCCCUGUGCCCGCUCUCCCCAUGGCAAGUGAGGGGCUGCACAGGAUUUUGAGAGCUCCCCGAUGGAUUUGCUGUAGGGAGGCAACAGGAGUGAGGGCUGGCUGUGCGAGGCUGAGCUUGGGGUGCCUUGUGGGCAGCAGGCAUUUGGCUGCAAGGCAACGUGCAGGAGCCCUCAUCU